AGUGAACGCUGGCGGUAGGCCUAACACAUGCAAGUCGAACGGCAGCACAGCAAGAGCUUGCUCUUACGGGUGGCGAGUGGCGGACGGGUGAGGAAUACAUCGGAAUCUACUUUUUCGUGGGGGAUAACGUAGGGAAACUUACGCUAAUACCGCAUACGACCUACGGGUGAAAGCAGGGGAUCUUCGGACCUUGCGCGAUUGAAUGAGCCGAUGUCGGAUUAGCUAGUUGGCGGGGUAAAGGCCCACCAAGGCGACGAUCCGUAGCUGGUCUGAGAGGAUGAUCAGCCACACUGGAACUGAGACACGGUCCAGACUCCUACGGGAGGCAGCAGUGGGGAAUAUUGGACAAUGGCCGCAAGCCUGAUCCAGCCAUACCGCGUGGGUGAAGAAGGCCUUCGGGUUGUAAAGCCCUUUUGUUGGGAAAGAAAAGCAGCAGGUUAAUACCCCGCUGUUCUGACGGUACCCAAAGAAUAAGCACCGGCUAACUUCGUG
Molecule: ribosomal RNA, 492 nt
Filed under: uncultured bacterium
Lineage: Bacteria
Description: partial 16S ribosomal RNA
Rfam family: Bacterial small subunit ribosomal RNA
Source: RNAcentral